GAGAACGAUAUGAGAAUGCAAAGGACACUUCACACUUGCAUUCCGAUCUAUAAGGCAAAGGACCUCAGCAAUGGCUUGUGAUCUGCUUAGCAUUCCGAUCACAACAGUGGCUUCAGAAUCCUCCUUUAGCAUCGGUUCGAGAGUUCUGAACAAAUACAGGAGCCGUCUACUUCCCAAAAAUGUGCAGGCGCUGAUAUGUAGUAGGAAUUGGCUAAAAGGAUUCGAAGCUUAUGAACAUGGUAAAUUAUUCACUUUGUUAUAUAUUUUAGGGUGUCAUGUUCUUUAAAUCUAAUUAACUUUGAUUUUUAAUAUUUACAGAAGAUGAAAUGGAUGGUGAAGAAGAGAUAGUUGAAGUUGAAGAAGAAGAAACUUGAUUUUUAUUUUGAACUGGUCUUUUUAUUUUAUUCGCAUUAUGGAUUUUGUGGCGUUCUUUUUCCCUUGUCGGGUUUUGUCCCAAUGAGUUUUCCCGAUAAGGUUUUUACCGAAGCCACGUUAUAUUGCUUGGACUAAACUAUUUUGUUGCUUCUGUUUUUUAAUAGGUUUGACUUCUUUUUUUUUUUAAACAACUUAAUAAGUUUGACUUCUAAGUUGUUAUAAUGCUCGUUAAGUUGAACUGAAGUAUGAACACAAGAAUAAUGUUUGUACAAGGAACUUGCAUUCAAAUGAAAACUUUGAAAUGAUGACUCGUUAUGUUAAGUAAUCUAUGUUUGUUACGUUUGUAUUGAACACAAGAGUAAUGUUAUGUAAGAUACGUUUCUGAAAUGUAUGAUAGAGGUUCAUAUACUUAUGAAUGGUGACCCGCGGGCCUGCCCGCAAAGACCUGUGCAAUAGGCGGGGCGGGAUUGGUCAAUGCUUCUCGGUACCGCAUCCCGCGGCGGGCCAGCCCGCUGUGACCCGACUGAACUUGAGCCCGUGGCGGGGCGGACCAUUUGGUUGCGGGUGGGCUCGUUUGCCAUCUCUAUUCAAAACCAUAGACAGACUGAUCCGGAACAUUCUCCUUGCAAGGAAGAACUUCAAGUCAUUCAAGAACCUUAUGCAAGUGUGGCUAAAGCACUUAUAGUUAGUGGUUGUUUGCUCUGUUUAGCUUUCAACUAGUCUUCUAGUGUCUUUCGUUGUUUAUUAAUCUUUUUUUUUUUUGGCAACGUAGGACUAAUCCGCCUUCCUUUUGGUACAUGUACAAACUCUUUCAUUUUUAAUGAUGUUCACAUGCUUAUCAAAAAAAAAAAAGUUUGCACGACAUAUGGCCCAUAAUUCACAAACGAAAACUAUGGUCGAGAUAUUGUGCCAUAUGUAAUAUAGCUGAGGUUUGUCCAUUUGAGAUUCUCUUAGAUAUCUUAUAUCCGUAUCUCAAAUCCAUCUAAGCCAAUAAUUGUGUUUUUAAAAACCUAAUUAUGAAGAUCUUUGUUUUCUACAACAAAACAAGCUACUCAUGCACAUUUUAAACGUAAACUGACACAUUUUUAGCAGAACAUGCAUUGAGUAUAUUCUAUUUUACGGUGCAUAAAACUUUUUAUUAUAACCGAACCAACAUAACAUAUAUCAGGUACAUGUCAUAAAAUCACUCAUUGAUAGUGACACAGACUUAUUUUAUGUAAAUUACACAAAACUAACCACCAAAGAGUUUGCGCAUAAGUU
Long non-coding RNA from Brassica rapa (field mustard), 1635 nucleotides. RefSeq lists it as uncharacterized. Lineage: Eukaryota; Viridiplantae; Streptophyta; Magnoliopsida; Brassicales; Brassicaceae. The record is from RefSeq and is a predicted model, not a curated record.